CCUACGGGUGGCUGCAGUGAGGAAUAUUGGUCAAUGGGCGCGAGUCUGAACCAGCCAAGUAGCGUGAAGGAUGACUGCCCUACGGGUUGUAAACUUCUUUUAUAAAGGAAUAAAGUGAGGCACGUGUGCCUUUUUGUAUGUACUUUAUGAAUAAGGAUCGGCUAACUCCGUGCCAGCAGCCGCGGUAAUACGGAGGAUCCGAGCGUUAUCCGGAUUUAUUGGGUUUAAAGGGUGCGUAGAUGGUUUGUUAAGUUAGUUGUGAAAGUUUGCGGCUCAACCGUAAAAUUGCAUUUAAUACUGGAAGCCUAGAGUACAGUUGAGGUAGGCGGAAUGCGUGGUGUAGCGGUGAAAUGCUUAGAUAUCACACAGAACUCCGAUUGCGAAGGCAGCUUACUAAACUGCCACUGACAUUGAUGCUCGAAAGUGUGGGUAUCAAACAGGAUUAGAUACCCCAGUAGUC
RNAcentral lists this ribosomal RNA (460 nucleotides) under uncultured bacterium. RNAcentral describes it as "partial 16S ribosomal RNA". It matches the Rfam family "Bacterial small subunit ribosomal RNA", at positions 338 to 795 of the family's 1533-position model. The record is from RNAcentral.